UGGGGAAUUUUGGACAAUGGGCGCAAGCCUGAUCCAGCCAUGCCGCGUGCGGGAAGAAGGCCUUCGGGUUGUAAACCGCUUUUGUCAGGGAAGAAAUCUUCUGAGUUAAUACCUCGGGAGGAUGACGGUACCUGAAGAAUAAGCACCGGCUAACUACGUGCCAGCAGCCACGGUAAUACGUAGGGUGCAAGCGUUAAUCGGAAUUACUGGGCGUAAAGCGUGCGCAGGCGGUUUUGUAAGACAGAGGUGAAACCCCCGGGCUCAACCUGGGAACUGCCUUUGUGACUGCAAGGCUUGAGUGCGGCAGAGGGGGGAUGGAAUUCCGCGUGUAGCAGUGAAAUGCGUAGAUAUGCGGAGGAACACCGAUGGCGAAGGCAAUCCCCUGGGCCUGCACUGACGCUCAUGCACGAAAGCGUGGGGAGCAAACAGGAUUAGAUACCCUGGUAGUCCACGCCCUAAACGAUGUCAACUGGUUGUUGGGAAGGUUCCUUCUCAGUAACGUAGCUAACGCGUGAAGUUGACCGCCUGGGGAGUACGGCCGCAAGGUUGAAAACUCAAAUGAAUUGACGGGGUCAAGCUGUUUCCAU
Molecule: ribosomal RNA, 587 nt
Filed under: uncultured bacterium
Lineage: Bacteria
Description: partial 16S ribosomal RNA
Rfam family: Bacterial small subunit ribosomal RNA
Source: RNAcentral